CUCGGAGGGAGUACGUUAUUUACUAUUUUGUGUCCUGUGCUGCUAGUGUGUUAGGAAGCACCUCACAUGCAUGUUUUUAUCCAGAGGAUAGGAAUUACUUAGCAGGCAACUGGAAAGGGAGCGAACUAAUUAAAAUACAAGUUUAUAUAUACUUGAUAGUAAUAUAAGAUCGUGGUCAACGCUUCACAUAUUAUUUCGAGCAUACAACACAGCCCAAAUUAAGUCUUAUUUAUUUAUUAUUCCUCCUGACCGACCGCCACGGCGGCGGCGGCUGGGAGUCGUGAACUGCGCAGACGACGAGCACGGACGGGAGGGCCGGAGAGGUAGGGUAUCACAUCGAUCAGCGAUGGCCGCCGCAGCAGAUAGGAUUGACAGUCUGAGGGCCCGAGUUGGGCAUCGGCGACCCCGGCGUCGACGAUCCCAUGCGGAGUAUCCUCCUUCCACUCCCAGCCGCCUCCGCCUCUCCUCCCUGCCCGGCAAUGGCCGCGCCACCGCAGUGCAGCGCCGCGAGAAGCAGCAGGGCUAGCAGCAGCAGCCUGACGCCGGCGGCAGGAAGACGAAGACCAGGGCAGCCAAAGGUGAUCAUACCGUCGAUAUUGGACAGCUAAGCUAGCUACUUCGUCUACUUGCUUGCUGGUGGUGUGUUUCUCCC
RNAcentral lists this long non-coding RNA (652 nucleotides) under Oryza brachyantha (malo sina). RNAcentral describes it as "long non-coding RNA (OBRA_LNC002797)". Lineage: Eukaryota; Viridiplantae; Streptophyta; Magnoliopsida; Poales; Poaceae. The record is from RNAcentral.